This is an RNA transcript of Dryobates pubescens (Downy woodpecker), 2047 nucleotides long. It is a transcript of the gene named norrin cystine knot growth factor NDP, with no coding region annotated. The transcript has 4 exons. The record is from RefSeq and is a predicted model, not a curated record. NCBI's taxonomy places the organism in Eukaryota, Metazoa, Chordata, Aves, Piciformes, Picidae.
AUAUGCCACAGCGUGUGUAUCUCCCGAUCCGAAACAAUAACAACAACAGAAAAAGAGCCCACAUUUCCUUCUAUUUCCUGGCUUGCCAAUAAUAAGAAGUCCCUGCAGAGUGGAGCUUGGCUGGUGGUGUUUUGUGAUUUCUCAGAUAACAAGAGCUUCACAUUUCUGUGGAAUUCCCAUUUGCCAGUGAGCUGCUGCUGCCGCUGCCCUGAUUGAUAUAUGACUGCAAUGGCACUUUUCCAUUUGACAUUCCCUCUCUCUCUCUCUCUCUCCCUCUCCCUCUCUCUCCUAAACAACAGCUCUAACUUUUGUGUGUUGCAAAUAUAAAAGGCAAGCCAUGUGACGGAGGGACAGAAGAACAAAAGCAUUUGGAAGUAACAGGACCUCUUUUUAGCUCUCUGAAGAGUUCGAGGGGAGGAAGGAGCAGUGCAUUUCCCAAAGGCAUCUUUUUGGUCAGGAUUGUGAUUUAUGCUGGUUUUAUCCCAGCUACACAGGAGAUUCUUUGAUGGAUUACAAUCUCAGCAAACUCUAACUAGAGGAGAAGAAUGACAGCGAAGAGGCUUAAACCAGACUUUUCACUCUCCUGGAAAGGAACGGGCUGUCAGUAUUUGGAGUUUUUUUAAUGCUCUACCUCCCUCUGCUGUUAUCAGCGAGAAGUUCCUCGACAAUGGGAAAUCAAGUACUUGCGGCUUCGAUUUCCAUGCUCUCUCUCCUGGCCAUGAUGGGAGACUCGGACAGUAAAACAGACAGCUCCUUCAUGAUUGACUCCGACCCCAGCCGCUGUAUGAGGCAUCACUAUGUCGACUCCAUCAGCCACCCCCUCUACAAGUGUAGCUCGAAGAUGGUACUGCUGGCUCGCUGCGAAGGGCGCUGCAGCCAGACAUCACGCUCGGAGCCAAUGGUUUCUUUCAGCACCGUCCUGAAGCAGCCUUUCCGCUCCACCUGCCACUGCUGCAGGCCUCAGACCUCCAAGCUGAAAGCCAUGAGGUUGCGAUGCUCAGGGGGCAUGCGGCUCACAGCCACCUACCGCUACAUCCUCUCCUGCCACUGUGAGGAGUGCAACUCCUAGGGGUGUAUGUGCCACAGCAGAGAGGGGGUUGGGAUGCUGCUGUUGAGGAAGGCUCCCAAGAAAUAGUCCAAGGCUCAACAAUGACCUCAGAGAGGUGCUUUUACUUUAGGCCAAGGGCAGCAAGGGAAAAGAGUGGAAGGACAGCUGGAUGACAGCACCACGCCCUGGAAGGUGGCAUUCAGACAGAGGAUGGGCAUCAGUUCCAACACACAACCUCUUAACACUAUGAAUUUUAUUCUCAGUCUUCUAGUAAUAUUGGCCUUCAAAACAAACUGUGUUGCUGGCAGGGUUUUCUGUUACUGACCUAGCAGCCAAGUGCUGGAUAACUUUAAUUGUGGUUCAUCAGAAAUUACAAAUAAAUCAUUGAAAAUUGAACUGGAUAUGAAAUGUCACGCUGGGAUUACGCAGCCCCAGCCAGCCAAAAUGAUUAUUUGCAGUGUGUGGCAUUACAGACCAGUGAUUGAGUGACUCUCGAGAAGUGAAAGGUCACAAGACUCAUCAUUCCCUUCAAAAAGCCUGGAAAUGUGACACAUCUCAUCUGUCACAAAAGCCAUUACUCAAAUGCUAAAAGCUAAUCAAAGAUUAAAAUGACACAUACUAAAUGGAGUCUUUUCUUAAGUUGGGUAGAACUGUGGAUGUACCGAGCCAGGGCCACCAAAAUAAUCACCAAACCUAGGACUUAUUUUCAUCUACAGAUUUUAGGUCAUUGAGUGAGUACCGUUUUGCUUUUUAAAGACCAACAAUGCCAAAAACAGGGGGAUUAAGCUGACAUGCCCAUAGGAAGGUCAAGCCAGAGUCCUAGCAUUAUCCACUCAGCCACAGAGGCUGUGUGUCAAUUUGCCUAAUGAUCUGCUACCUGGGAUCCCAGGUGAUUCACCAUUCAGCUUGGCAGCUGCUUGGAGAAUAGCUUAGCUCUUGGCUGGUCCCUACACUGACACAUCCUUUGUGCACGCAUAAGGAUGUAGGAGUCUCUGGUGA